Molecule: ribosomal RNA, 440 nt
Filed under: uncultured bacterium
Lineage: Bacteria
Description: partial 16S ribosomal RNA
Rfam family: Bacterial small subunit ribosomal RNA
Source: RNAcentral
CUACGGGGGGCAGCAGUGAGGAAUAUUGCACAAUGGGGGGAACCCUGAUGCAGCAACGCCGCGUGGAGGAUGACGCAUUUCGGUGUGUAAACUCCUUUUAUAUGUCAAGAAAAUGACGGUAGCAUAUGAAUAAGCACCGGCUAGACUCCGUGCCAGCAGCCGCGGUAAUACGGAGGGUGCAAGCGUUACUCGGAAUCACUGGGCGUAAAGGACGCGUAGGCGGGUUGGAAAGUCAGGUGUGAAAUCCUGCAGCGUAACUGUAGAACUGCACUUGAAACUUCUAAUCUAGAGUAUGGGAGGGGGAGAUGGAAUUAGUGGUGUAGGGGUAAAAUCCGUAGAUAUCACUAGGAAUACCUAAAGCGAAGGCGAUCUCCUGGAACAUUACUGACGCUAAGGCGUGAAAGCGUGGGGAGCAAACAGGAUUAGAUACCCCCGUAGUC